This 330-nucleotide ribosomal RNA is filed under the name uncultured bacterium. RNAcentral's name for it is "bacterial SSU rRNA". It matches the Rfam family "Bacterial small subunit ribosomal RNA", at positions 568 to 898 of the family's 1533-position model. The record is from RNAcentral.
UGUGUAGGCGGUUCUUUAAGUUUGGUGUGAAAUCUCCCGGCUUAACCGGGAGGGUGCGCCGAAUACUGAGGAACUAGAGUGCGGGAGAGGAAAGUGGAAUUCCUGGUGUAGCGGUGAAAUGCGUAGAUAUCAGGAGGAACACCGGUGGUGUAGACGGCUUUCUGGACCGUAACUGACGCUGAGACACGAAAGCGUGGGUAGCAAACAGGAUUAGAUACCCUGGUAGUCCACGCCCUAAACGAUGCAUAUUUGGUGUGGGUCAUUCAGUUGAUCCGUGCCGGAGCUAACGCGUUAAAUAUGCCGCCUGGGGAGUACAGUCGCAAGGCUGAA